Molecule: ribosomal RNA, 497 nt
Filed under: uncultured bacterium
Lineage: Bacteria
Description: partial 16S ribosomal RNA
Rfam family: Bacterial small subunit ribosomal RNA
Source: RNAcentral
GAUGAACGCUGGCGGCGUGCCUAAUACAUGCAAGUCGAGCGAACGGACGAGAAGCUUGCUUUUCUGAUGUUAGCGGCGGACGGGUGAGUAACACGUGGAUAAUCUACCUAUAAGACUGGGAUAACUUCGGGAAACCGGAGCUAAUACCGGAUAAUAUUUUGAACCGCAUGGUUCAAAAGUGAAAGACGGUCUUGCUGUCACUUAUAGAUGGAUCCGCGCUGCAUUAGCUAGUUGGUAAGGUAACGGCUUACCAAGGCAACGAUGCAUAGCCGACCUGAGAGGGUGAUCGGCCACACUGGAACUGAGACACGGUCCAGACUCCUACGGGAGGCAGCAGUAGGGAAUCUUCCGCAAUGGGCGAAAGCCUGACGGAGCAACGCCGCGUGAGUGAUGAAGGUCUUCGGAUCGUAAAACUCUGUUAUUAGGGAAGAACAUAUGUGUAAGUAACUGUGCACAUCUUGACGGUACCUAAUCAGAAAGCCACGGCUAACUACGUG